GGGUCACACCAAAAGAACACUCUCAUUGCCUACUAACCAGCAAAUGUGCUAUGACGACCGAUUCACAAGCUACUUGAUAUUUUUUCACUUAGUUGAUCUAGAUUAUAUUCUAGAUGCUACAUACUUUUGAAUGAUGUUUUUUUAACAAACCGUCUUUCGUUCUCAAUUCAGUAAUUUACAUUCUUAUCUCUCUUUUUAGGAGAAGCAGUUCUGAUUUAUUGUAGACUUGUUA
This 232-nucleotide unclassified non-coding RNA is filed under the name Hevea brasiliensis (rubber tree). Lineage: Eukaryota; Viridiplantae; Streptophyta; Magnoliopsida; Malpighiales; Euphorbiaceae. The record is from RNAcentral.